UUCGGCAAUGGACGAAAGUCUGACCGAGCAACGCCGCGUGAGUGAAGAAGGUUUUCGGAUCGUAAAGCUCUGUUGUAAGUCAAGAACGUGUGUGAGAGUGGAAAGUUCACACAGUGACGGUAGCUUACCAGAAAGGGACGGCUAACUACGUGCCAGCAGCCGCGGUAAUACGUAGGUCCCGAGCGUUGUCCGGAUUUAUUGGGCGUAAAGGGAGCGCAGGCGGUCAGGAAAGUCUGGAGUAAAAGGCUAUGGCUCAACCAUAGUGUGCUCUGGAAACUGUCUGACUUGAGUGCAGAAGGGGAGAGUGGAAUUCCAUGUGUAGCGGUGAAAUGCGUAGAUAUAUGGAGGAACACCAGUGGCGAAAGCGGCUCUCUGGUCUGUCACUGACGCUGAGGCUCGAAAGCGUGGGUAGCGAACAGGAUUAGAUACCCUGGUAGUCCACGCCGUAAACGAUGAGUGCUAGGUGUUAGGCCCUUUCCGGGGCUUAGUGCCGGAGCUAACGCAAUAAGCACUCCGCCUGGGGAGUACGACCGCAAGGUUGAAACUCAAAGGAAUUGACGGGGGCCCGCACAAGCGGUGGAGCAUGUGGUUUAAUUCGAAGCA
Molecule: ribosomal RNA, 603 nt
Filed under: Streptococcus mutans
Lineage: Bacteria; Bacillati; Bacillota; Bacilli; Lactobacillales; Streptococcaceae
Description: bacterial SSU rRNA
Rfam family: Bacterial small subunit ribosomal RNA
Source: RNAcentral